RNAcentral lists this ribosomal RNA (400 nucleotides) under uncultured bacterium. Its description in RNAcentral is "bacterial SSU rRNA". It matches the Rfam family "Bacterial small subunit ribosomal RNA", at positions 355 to 753 of the family's 1533-position model. The record is from RNAcentral.
UAGGGAAUAUUGGGCAAUGGCCGCGAGGCUGACCCAGCCAUGCCGCGUGCCGGAUGACGGCCUUCUGGGUUGUAAACGGCUUUUCUCAGGGAAGAAAACGCGCCUGCGGGCGUACCUGACGGUACCUGAGGAAGAAGCACCGGCUAACUCCGUGCCAGCAGCCGCGGUAAUACGGAGGGUGCGAGCGUUGUCCGGAUUUAUUGGGUUUAAAGGGUGCGUAGGCGGCCUGUUAAGUCCGGGGUGAAAGCCCACAGCUCAACUGUGGAACUGCCCUGGAUACUGGCAGGCUUGAGUCCAGACGAGGUUGGCGGAAUAGACGCUGUAGCGGUGAAAUGCAUAGAUAGCGUCUAGAACCCCGAUUGCGAAGGCAGCUGACUAGGCUGGCACUGACGCUGAGGCA